RNAcentral lists this long non-coding RNA (342 nucleotides) under Nicotiana tabacum (common tobacco). RNAcentral's name for it is "long non-coding RNA (NTAB_LNC010488)". Lineage: Eukaryota; Viridiplantae; Streptophyta; Magnoliopsida; Solanales; Solanaceae. The record is from RNAcentral.
GCACACAUCUGCUGCAAUCAUAAAGAAGUGCCUGACAAAUCAUGCAGCUAAAAGGACCCAGCUUAAAUGCUUGAGAAUCAUAUCCAAAGGGGCAUUUAGGUGACACAGUUGCAGAUUCUCCAGACUCUUGUUUAGCCUUGUUCUCCUGGCCAUAUCCAAAGGGGCAUUGAGGUGACACAACUGCAGAUUCUCCAGACGCUUCUUUAGGCUUGCUCUCCUGGCCAUAUCCAAAGGGGCAUUUAGGUGACACAAUUGCAGAUUCCCUAGACUCUUGCUUAGGCUUGCUCUCCUGACUAGCCGGCUGUUUAUUUUGGUUUUCACCAGGCUUCUUAGUAGAAGUGU